Parelaphostrongylus tenuis is the source of this 81-nucleotide non-coding RNA. NCBI's taxonomy places the organism in Eukaryota, Metazoa, Nematoda, Chromadorea, Rhabditida, Metastrongylidae. The record is from the annotation of a GenBank genome assembly.
GCGCCGGUGGUGCGACGGUUAGCAUACGCUCCUGGAAAGAGUGAGAUCUGGGUUCGAAUCCUUCGAAUCCCGGCUGACGCA